RNAcentral lists this small RNA (24 nucleotides) under Arabidopsis thaliana (thale cress). Its description in RNAcentral is "ATSL002050". Lineage: Eukaryota; Viridiplantae; Streptophyta; Magnoliopsida; Brassicales; Brassicaceae. The record is from RNAcentral.
GAGGAAGAACAAGAAGAAGAAACU